This 72-nucleotide transfer RNA is filed under the name Marmota monax (woodchuck). RNAcentral describes it as "tRNA.Ala". It matches the Rfam family "tRNA". From Rfam's summary of the family: Transfer RNA (tRNA) molecules are approximately 80 nucleotides in length. Their secondary structure includes four short double-helical elements and three loops (D, anti-codon, and T loops). Further hydrogen bonds mediate the characteristic L-shaped molecular structure. tRNAs have two regions of fundamental functional importance: the anti-codon, which is responsible for specific mRNA codon recognition, and the 3' end, to which the tRNAs corresponding amino acid is attached (by aminoacyl-tRNA synthetases). tRNAs cope with the degeneracy of the genetic code in two manners: having more than one tRNA (with a specific anti-codon) for a particular amino acid; and 'wobble' base-pairing, i.e. permitting non-standard base-pairing at the 3rd anti-codon position. The record is from RNAcentral. Lineage: Eukaryota; Metazoa; Chordata; Mammalia; Rodentia; Sciuridae.
GAGGUUGUGGCUCAAGUGGUAGAGCGCAUGCCUAGCACGCAUGAGGCACUGGGUUCGAUCCUCAGCACCACA